Molecule: ribosomal RNA, 1367 nt
Filed under: uncultured bacterium
Lineage: Bacteria
Description: bacterial SSU rRNA
Rfam family: Bacterial small subunit ribosomal RNA
Source: RNAcentral
AGAGUUUGAUCCUGGCUCAGGACGAACGCUGGCGGCGCGCCUAACACAUGCAAGUCGAACGAGAGAGAGGGAGCUUGCUUCCUCAAUCGAGUGGCGAACGGGUGAGUAACGCGUGAGGAACCUGCCUCAAAGAGGGGGACAACAGUUGGAAACGACUGCUAAUACCGCAUAAGCCCACAGGUCGGCAUCGACCAGAGGGAAAAGGAGCAAUCCGCUUUGAGAUGGCCUCGCGUCCGAUUAGCUAGUUGGUGAGGUAAUGGCCCACCAAGGCGACGAUCGGUAGCCGGACUGAGAGGUUGAACGGCCACAUUGGGACUGAGACACGGCCCAGACUCCUACGGGAGGCAGCAGUGGGGAAUAUUGCACAAUGGGGGAAACCCUGAUGCAGCGACGCCGCGUGGAGGAAGAAGGUCUUCGGAUUGUAAACUCCUGUUGUUGAGGAAGAUAAUGACGGUACUCAACAAGGAAGUGACGGCUAACUACGUGCCAGCAGCCGCGGUAAAACGUAGGUCACAAGCGUUGUCCGGAAUUACUGGGUGUAAAGGGAGCGCAGGCGGGAAGACAAGUUGGAAGUGAAAUCUAUGGGCUCAACCCAUAAACUGCUUUCAAAACUGUUUUUCUUGAGUAGUGCAGAGGUAGGCGGAAUUCCCGGUGUAGCGGUGGAAUGCGUAGAUAUCGGGAGGAACACCAGUGGCGAAGGCGGCCUACUGGGCACCAACUGACGCUGAGGCUCGAAAGUGUGGGUAGCAACAGGAUUAGAUACCCUGGUAGUCCACACCGUAAACGAUGAUUACUAGGUGUUGGAGGAUUGACCCCUUCAGUGCCGCAGUUAACACAAUAAGUAAUCCACCUGGGGAGUACGACCACAAGGUUGAAACUCAAAGGAAUUGACGGGGGCCCGCACAAGCAGUGGAGUAUGUGGUUUAAUUCGACGCAACGCGAAGAACCUUACCAAGUCUUGACAUCCUGCGACGGACAUAGAAAUAUGUCUUUCCUUCGGGACGCAGAGACAGGUGGUGCAUGGUUGUCGUCAGCUCGUGUCGUGAGAUGUUGGGUUAAGUCCCGCAACGAGCGCAACCCUUACUGUCAGUUACUACGCAAGAGGACUCUGGCAGGACUGCCGUUGACAAAACGGAGGAAGGUGGGGAUGACGUCAAAUCAUCAUGCCCUUUAUGACUUGGGCUACACACGUACUACAAUGGCGUUAAACAAAGAGAAGCAAGACCGCGAGGUGGAGCAAAACUCAGAAACAACGUCCCAGUUCGGACUGCAGGCUGCAACUCGCCUGCACGAAGUCGGAAUUGCUAGUAAUCGUGGAUCAGCAUGCCACGGUGAAUACGUUCCCGGGCCUGUACACACCGCCCGUC